GAUGAAGAACGUAGCGAAAUGCGAUAAUUAAUGUGAAUUGCGGAAUUCCGUGAAUCAUCGAGUCUUUGAACGCACAUUGCGCCUCAUGGCAUUCCGUGAGGCAUGCCCAUCUCAGCGUUAGAAAAUAUUCUCAAAUUUUAGUUUUGUGCUAAAAUUUGGAUCAUGUCAAGGAAGCUAUUACUAUUAUUGUGAUCGCUCUUUGGAAAUUGAUAGGUCUUUGAGUUGCUACUCAUAGAACGUGAUGAAUCUUUCUUCGUUCUAUUGUAAUUCACUCUGGUAGUCCUAAAACUUGUAUGCCUGUGGCAUAUCUUGUAAUUUGACCUGAGAUUGGGUAGGGAUACCCGCUGAACUUAAGCAUAUCAAUAAGCGGAGGA
This 374-nucleotide unclassified non-coding RNA is filed under the name soil metagenome. RNAcentral's name for it is "partial contains internal transcribed spacer 2 and large subunit ribosomal RNA". The stretch from base 1 to 120 matches the Rfam family "5.8S ribosomal RNA", at positions 35 to 154 of the family's 154-position model. The record is from RNAcentral.